UACGUAGGGUGCGAGCGUUAAUCGGAAUUACUGGGCGUAAAGUGUGCGCAGGCGGCUUCGCAAGUCGAGUGUGAAAUCCCCGAGCUUAACUUGGGAAUUGCGCUCGAAACUACGGAGCUGGAGUGUGGCAGAGGAAGGUGGAAUUCCACGUGUAGCGGUGGAAAUGCGUAGAGAUGUGGAGGAACACCGAUGGCGAAGGCAGCCUUCUGGGCCAACACUGACGCUCAUGCACGAAAGCGUGGGGAGCAAACAGG
This 254-nucleotide ribosomal RNA is filed under the name uncultured bacterium. RNAcentral describes it as "partial 16S ribosomal RNA". It matches the Rfam family "Bacterial small subunit ribosomal RNA", at positions 524 to 776 of the family's 1533-position model. The record is from RNAcentral.